This 212-nucleotide long non-coding RNA is filed under the name Gossypium raimondii (Peruvian cotton). RNAcentral describes it as "long non-coding RNA (GRAI_LNC008552)". The record is from RNAcentral. Lineage: Eukaryota; Viridiplantae; Streptophyta; Magnoliopsida; Malvales; Malvaceae.
GAUAUUAUUAUUCUUUGAACUAUGGGAAUAAAGGCAAUAUGGUAGAAUUUUUGGUUGAUUAUUAUUAUAUAUUAAAUGAAUGCUAUGAUUUUAGACUAAUAGGGCUUGAUGGAUGUUUGUAAAUAUUUUAUUGGUAUUGUUUUGGUUUGAACUAUUGAUGUUGCUUUGGUCUACAAGUAUAGAUAUUUUGAUAUUGAAUAGUGAAGUUGUGG